This 2573-nucleotide long non-coding RNA is filed under the name Citrus sinensis (sweet orange). RNAcentral's name for it is "long non-coding RNA (CSIN_LNC002421)". The record is from RNAcentral. Lineage: Eukaryota; Viridiplantae; Streptophyta; Magnoliopsida; Sapindales; Rutaceae.
GUAAUCUUUCUUAGGAAUUGGAGAAAUGAAGCUAAAAGAGCAACCAGGAUAACAAUACCACAACAAAAUCUGGAACGGAAAGAAACCAAAGCGGCUGCUAACUUGCAUGUAGACCUUACAAAACAACAGUAAACAACAAUGUUUAAAGUCCAAAAGAAGCCGCUUCGAAAGUGCUAACAGUUGAAUUUGGAAAUACAGCAAAAUGAACUAAACAGUAAAAUGCAGAACAGUAAAGUCUUUCACAUAUAAAGCCCUUCUGGCACCCCUUCUUUCUUCUUGAACAUCACCUUUUCCUUUGCUUUCUUAAAAUCUGUAUGCGUCACCUGCGGAACAGCAUUUCAAAAUGCCAAACAAGUAAUCAAAACCACUUCCCAAGGGAUCAGAAAGACAAAACAUUUUUUGCAUUAUGCAGAUUCCCUUCAAAUCUUGCUAGGAUUCCUACUUAACCAAAGUCUAUCCAUUCUCCUACAUAUCUUAAAACAGAAAGGCCACCUGUCAGCUGUCGCUGGACUACAUAAAAAUCUCCUUUACUCAAACAGUGUAUAAUUUAACAUAGCCAAACUUAUAAGCCAACACAUGGAUUGCACUUUCAACACACAGGAGACAAACAAGAACAGAAAUGUCACACCAAAUAAAUUACAGGAUAGAGUGUUUAAGCUCACCUUCAUGCGGCGCUCUCUCAAAGCAAGCAAACCAGCUUCAGUACAUAUAGCCUUUAUAUCAGCUCCAGAGAACUCAUCUUUGGUCAUAACAAACUCUUCCAAGUUGACAUCAUCAGCCAAGGUCAUCCUUGAUGUGUGAAUCUGAAUCCACAAACAUAAAAGUCAAUUAAUCAAAUAAGGAGACUUUAACUCUCUCUGUACGUGUUUCAUUUGUAUUUUACUAUUUAUAAAACAGGCAUAACACAGAUUUGUUCAGCACAAAAGUUUACGACCUUCAUAUAAUCAAGAAAUAUCUUUCAUACCUGGAAAAUACGUCUCCUAGUCUUGAUAUCGGGAAGAGGAAAUUCAAUCUUUCUAUCUAUUCGACCUGGCCGAAGUAAAGCUGGAUCCAGGCUUUCAAUUCGGUUGGUUGCAAGAAUUACUUUGACAUCUCCUCUAGAAUCAAACCCAUCCAACUGGUUCAGCAACUCCAACAUGGUUCUCUGAAUUUCACGUUCGCCACCUGAGUGGGCAUCAUACCUGUCGAGCAUACAGUAUUCAUUGAACAAAAACAUUCCUAAGAUCAAGAUUACAUCUUCAGAGGCAAAUACUCGUUUACUCACCUCUUCGUACCAACUGCAUCAAUUUCAUCAAUGAAGACGAUAGAAGGUGACAGAUCAUCAGCAACUCUGAAAAGUUCCCUUACUAAUUUUGGUCCAUCACCCAAGUACUUCUGAAUUAAUUCACUACCGACAACACGCAAGAAAGUUGCAGAUGUUGAAUUUGCCACAGCCUGAAAGAAUAGGAAUAGGUCAUAUAUGUGCCAAGCAAAGCAGAAAUGCCAUCAAUGGUCAAACUAAACAAGGCAGAAGUCACCACAAACACUUAAAAUGCAGUAAUAUGGCCAAAAUGGAAAAAAACUAAAAUAUGACAGUUUUUCCUGUCUAUUUCAAACUACAUAUGACAGGUAAAACAAAUUUUCUUUUGAUAAGAAUAUGACAGAUAAAACAUUAAAUACAAGUCCACAACAAAUACGAAAAACAACAGCCAGAUUAAUGAUUCUUCAUGUUCAUCUGUCUGAGAAUCUCCAAAAACAAACCUAAUACCAAUGAUUUCACAGCAUACAGCUCAAGGAGCAGCAAAAAAAAAGACCAACAAUCUUAUAGAUGAUUAAAGAAGAGCAGCUACUGAGGCAAAAUAAAAUAAGCAAGAAAAUAUGAGCUAAAAUGCAACAUAAUCACAAAUUUCUGUUUCUGCAUGCUUCAAGAUGCAGACUAGUACAGAUGAUGCUGCCACGUAAAUCGUGGAAGCUGAAUAUUCACUUAUGGUUCUAAACUAAUUGGAUUUCCAUAUAAGGUGUGCAUCUAUGUCACAGCACAGAAAGCAUUAGCAAAUACAGUGAUUUAAAAGGAUGCAAGUUAAGAUUAAGAAACCCACAGCCAUGAUAGGAUGCCAUAUUUUACCGCUUAGAACAUAAUUUGUGAUCAGAUCUCAUAUACACAGUUUGUUUAGAAAAGAAAACAGAUAUGAAUAACUAGAGCAGCUAUACAAACAACAAAUAAUCUACUACCAAACAGCACCAAGAGGAUAACACAGGUACACACAAACAAUUUAAUCUACUGCCAAAUUGCUGACAGGGUCACAUACAUAAACAUUUAGCAUAAAGAAGGUAACAUAGUUCAAAUACACACCUUUGCAAGCAGUGUCUUGCCUGUUCCAGGCUCUCCAUACAAUAUAACUCCCUUAGGAGGCUUGAUACCGAUAUCUUCAUAAAGUUCAGGAUGGGUAAGAGGAAGCUCAACAGCUUCUUUAAUCUCCUGUAUCUGUGCAUCUAAACCUCCAAUAUCAGCAUAAGACUCCAAUGGAGCCUUCUCAACCUUCAUCACAGACACCAUUGGAUCUACUUCAUCUUGCAGAAGCCCAACGACCGAA